Molecule: RNase P RNA, 526 nt
Filed under: Planctomycetia bacterium
Lineage: Bacteria; Pseudomonadati; Planctomycetota; Planctomycetia
Description: RNase P RNA component class A
Rfam family: Bacterial RNase P class A
About the family: Ribonuclease P (RNase P) is a ubiquitous endoribonuclease, found in archaea, bacteria and eukarya as well as chloroplasts and mitochondria. Its best characterised activity is the generation of mature 5'-ends of tRNAs by cleaving the 5'-leader elements of precursor-tRNAs.
Source: RNAcentral
GAGGGGAGCCGGACGGUCGCUGGUCGAUUCCGAUCAGAGGAAAGUCCGGGCUUCAUCGGGCGCCGCGGUGGAUAACGUCCACCGAUCACAGGAAGUCGGUGGUCACGGUUCAUCCGGUACCGACUUCUGAAGAUCAGGGCCAGUGCCACAGAAAAGGAUACCGCCGAUCGACACGAUCCGUCACGACCGGGAUCUUCCGGAGCUCACAUGGUACCCCCGGGUACCAUGGAGGGUAUCCCGGAGAAGGACGUCCGGACGCUGACAGACCAGAUCGGUAAGGGUGAAAAGGUGAGGUAAGAGCUCACCGGCGGUCGGGUGACCGGCCGGCCUGGUAAACCCCGCGGGAAGCAAGAUCGAACAGGAUGGGAGCGUCGCAAUACGCUCCGACGGCGGCCCGUCGUUUCAUCCGGGUGGAUCGCCUGAACGACGGAGUAAUCCGUCGUCUGGACAAAUGACCGUCACCGUCACGGGAACGAGACCACGUUUUCUGAUGGUACAGAACCCGGCUUACAGGCUCCCCUCCCCG